This 208-nucleotide unclassified non-coding RNA is filed under the name uncultured Suillus. Its description in RNAcentral is "sequence contains ITS1". The record is from RNAcentral. Lineage: Eukaryota; Fungi; Basidiomycota; Agaricomycetes; Boletales; Suillaceae.
AAGAAAUAAUCUCGAGGGCCUUCGGAAAGGAGAGAGGGUUGUAGCUGGCUUAAGCAUGUGCACGCCCUCUUUCUCGACCUAGGUCCUUAUGGGCGCGGGGCGACCCGCGUCUUCAUAAGCCCCUUCGUGUAGAAAGUCUAUGAAUGUUUUUACCAUCAUCGACUCGCGACUUCUAGGAGACGCGAUUCUUUGAGACAAAAGUUUAUUA